AAUUAUUGCCAUACCUCCUUGUCAAAGCCUGGUCUUGUCAGAUCUCAGAAGCUAAGCAAGGCUUGGUCUGGUUAGUAAUUGGAUGGGAGACCGCAGGGAAAAUCAGGUGCCACAGUGG
This 118-nucleotide ribosomal RNA is filed under the name Periophthalmus magnuspinnatus. Lineage: Eukaryota; Metazoa; Chordata; Actinopteri; Gobiiformes; Gobiidae. The record is from RNAcentral.